UUCCGGUUGAUCCUGCCGGACCUGACUGCUAUCGGAUUGAUACUAAGCCAUGCGAGUCAUUGUAGCAAUACAAGGCAGACGGCUCAGUAACGCGUAGUCAACCUACCCUAUGGACGGGGAUAACCUCGGGAAACUGAGUAUAAUACCAGAUAGAACAUUAUGCCUGGAAUGGUUUAUGUUCCAAAUGAUUUAUUGCCAUAGGAUGGGACUGCGGCCUAUCAGUUUGUUGGUGAGGUAAUGGCCCACCAAGACUAUUACAGGUACGGGCUCUGAGAGGAGUGGCCCGGAGAUGGGUACUGAGACACGGACCCAGGCCCUAUGGGGCGCAGCAGGCGAGAAAACUUUGCAAUGUGCGAAAGCACGACAAGGUUAAUCCGAGUGGUUUCUGCUAAAGGAACCUUUUGACAGUCCUAAAAGCACUGUUGAAUAAGGGGUGGGCAAGUUCUGGUGUCAGCCGCCGCGGUAAAACCAGCACCUCAAGUGGUCAGGAUGAUUAUUGGGCCUAAAGCAUCCGUAGCCGGCUCUGUAAGUUUUCGGUUAAAUCUGUACGCUUAACGUACAGGCUGCUGGGAAUACUGCAGAUCUAGGGAGUGGGAGAGGUAGACGGUACUCGGGAGGAAGUGGUAAAAUACUUUGAUCUCUCGAUGACCACCUGUGGCGAAGGCGGUCUACCAGAACACGUCCGACGGUGAGGGAUGAAAGCUGGGGGAGCAAACCGGAUUAGAUACCCGGGUAGUCCCAGCUGUAAACUAUGCAAACUCAGUGAUGCACUGGCUUGUGGCCAGUGCAGUGUUGCAGGGAAGCCGUUAAGUUGCCGCCUGGGAAGUACGUCGCAAGUAG
Molecule: ribosomal RNA, 840 nt
Filed under: uncultured crenarchaeote
Lineage: Archaea; Thermoproteati; Thermoproteota
Description: bacterial SSU rRNA
Rfam family: Archaeal small subunit ribosomal RNA
Source: RNAcentral